UUGAGAUUCAGUAGCGAUACAAUAAGACAAGUAUCUAAUGUUGCAAAAUCUUUCCAACCACAUUGAAACAUCAGCAAUGUAAAUAGGAAGACUUAAAAAAAAAAAAAGGAACAGUAAGGCAAUACUCUGGGCCAAAAUGACAUCGAGGGAGUGCGAGUAAAGCUCCAAUAGCAAACAGCACCACAGCCGCUUCAUUUUCUUGCCAAAACCACUUUAAG
Molecule: unclassified non-coding RNA, 218 nt
Filed under: Hevea brasiliensis (rubber tree)
Lineage: Eukaryota; Viridiplantae; Streptophyta; Magnoliopsida; Malpighiales; Euphorbiaceae
Source: RNAcentral